RNAcentral lists this ribosomal RNA (435 nucleotides) under Melampsora larici-populina 98AG31. RNAcentral describes it as "eukaryotic large subunit ribosomal RNA". It matches the Rfam family "Eukaryotic large subunit ribosomal RNA", at positions 1456 to 1888 of the family's 3401-position model. Lineage: Eukaryota; Fungi; Basidiomycota; Pucciniomycetes; Pucciniales; Melampsoraceae. The record is from RNAcentral.
GGAAGUAGCAAAUAUUCAAGUGGGAUCCUUGAAGACUGAAGUGGGGAAGGGUUCCAUGGUAACAGCAGUUGGACAUGGGUUAGUCGGUCCUAAGAGAUAGGGAACCUCCGUUUUAAAGAAGGCUCUUGUUAGUCUGACCUAUCGAAAGGGAAUGUAGUUAAGAUUCUACAACUGGGAUGCAGAUUUUCAGCGGUAACGCAUAUGAACUUGGUGACAUUGGCAUGGGCCCUAGGAAAAGUUAUCUUUUUUCUUUAACAGUCUGUAACCCUGGAAACGAAUUAUUCGGAGAUAGGGUUUAAUGAUUGGUAGAGCGUCACACCUCUGUGGCGUCUAGUGUGUCCUUGACAAUCCUUGAAAAGCCGAGGGAUUUAAAAAGUCUUGCACUCAUCCGUACUCAUAUCCGCAUCAGGUCCUCAAGGUGAACAGCCUCUGGUU